This 460-nucleotide ribosomal RNA is filed under the name uncultured bacterium. RNAcentral describes it as "partial 16S ribosomal RNA". It matches the Rfam family "Bacterial small subunit ribosomal RNA", at positions 338 to 795 of the family's 1533-position model. The record is from RNAcentral.
CCUACGGGAGGCAGCAGUGAGGAAUAUUGGUCAAUGGACGGAAGUCUGAACCAGCCAUGCCGCGUGCAGGAAGACGGUACUAAGUGUUGUAAACUGCUUUUGUACAAGGGUAAACCUGGAUACGCGUCUUCAGCUGAAAGUACUCUACGAAUAAGCAUCGGCUAACUCCGUGCCAGCAGCCGCGGUAAUACGGAGGAUGCAAGCGUUAUCCGGAUUUAUUGGGUUUAAAGGGUGUGUAGGAGGAUUGAUAAGUUAGAUGUGAAAUGUUCGAGCUUAACUCGGGAACUGCCUCUAAUACUGUUGAUCGAGAGAGUAGAUGCGGUAGGCGGAAUGUAUGGUGUAGCGGUGAAAUGCUUAGAGAUCAUACAGAACACCGAUUGCGAAGGCAGCUUACCAAUCUAUAUCUGACGUUGAGGCACGAAAGCGUGGGGAGCAAACAGGAUUAGAUACCCUUGUAGUC